Molecule: ribosomal RNA, 1467 nt
Filed under: Salmonella enterica
Lineage: Bacteria; Pseudomonadati; Pseudomonadota; Gammaproteobacteria; Enterobacterales; Enterobacteriaceae
Also listed under: 2 other names
Description: bacterial SSU rRNA
Rfam family: Bacterial small subunit ribosomal RNA
Source: RNAcentral
AACGGUAACAGGAAGCAGCUUGCUGCUUUGCUGACGAGUGGCGGACGGGUGAGUAAUGUCUGGGAAACUGCCUGAUGGAGGGGGAUAACUACUGGAAACGGUGGCUAAUACCGCAUAACGUCGCAAGACCAAAGAGGGGGACCUUCGGGCCUCUUGCCAUCAGAUGUGCCCAGAUGGGAUUAGCUUGUUGGUGAGGUAACGGCUCACCAAGGCGACGAUCCCUAGCUGGUCUGAGAGGAUGACCAGCCACACUGGAACUGAGACACGGUCCAGACUCCUACGGGAGGCAGCAGUGGGGAAUAUUGCACAAUGGGCGCAAGCCUGAUGCAGCCAUGCCGCGUGUAUGAAGAAGGCCUUCGGGUUGUAAAGUACUUUCAGCGGGGAGGAAGGUGUUGUGGUUAAUAACCGCAGCAAUUGACGUUACCCGCAGAAGAAGCACCGGCUAACUCCGUGCCAGCAGCCGCGGUAAUACGGAGGGUGCAAGCGUUAAUCGGAAUUACUGGGCGUAAAGCGCACGCAGGCGGUCUGUCAAGUCGGAUGUGAAAUCCCCGGGCUCAACCUGGGAACUGCAUUCGAAACUGGCAGGCUUGAGUCUUGUAGAGGGGGGUAGAAUUCCAGGUGUAGCGGUGAAAUGCGUAGAGAUCUGGAGGAAUACCGGUGGCGAAGGCGGCCCCCUGGACAAAGACUGACGCUCAGGUGCGAAAGCGUGGGGAGCAAACAGGAUUAGAUACCCUGGUAGUCCACGCCGUAAACGAUGUCUACUUGGAGGUUGUGCCCUUGAGGCGUGGCUUCCGGAGCUAACGCGUUAAGUAGACCGCCUGGGGAGUACGGCCGCAAGGUUAAAACUCAAAUGAAUUGACGGGGGCCCGCACAAGCGGUGGAGCAUGUGGUUUAAUUCGAUGCAACGCGAAGAACCUUACCUGGUCUUGACAUCCACAGAAGAAUCCAGAGAUGGAUUUGUGCCUUCGGGAACUGUGAGACAGGUGCUGCAUGGCUGUCGUCAGCUCGUGUUGUGAAAUGUUGGGUUAAGUCCCGCAACGAGCGCAACCCUUAUCCUUUGUUGCCAGCGGUUAGGCCGGGAACUCAAAGGAGACUGCCAGUGAUAAACUGGAGGAAGGUGGGGAUGACGUCAAGUCAUCAUGGCCCUUACGACCAGGGCUACACACGUGCUACAAUGGCGCAUACAAAGAGAAGCGACCUCGCGAGAGCAAGCGGACCUCAUAAAGUGCGUCGUAGUCCGGAUUGGAGUCUGCAACUCGACUCCAUGAAGUCGGAAUCGCUAGUAAUCGUGGAUCAGAAUGCCACGGUGAAUACGUUCCCGGGCCUUGUACACACCGCCCGUCACACCAUGGGAGUGGGUUGCAAAAGAAGUAGGUAGCUUAACCUUCGGGAGGGCGCUUACCACUUUGUGAUUCAUGACUGGGGUGAAGUCGUAACAAGGUAACCGUAGGGGAACCUGCGGUUGGA